AUUGAACGCUGGCGGCAGGCCUAACACAUGCAAGUCGAGCGGAUGAAGGGAGCUUGCUCCUGGAUUCAGCGGCGGACGGGUGAGUAAUGCCUAGGAAUCUGCCUGGUAGUGGGGGAUAACGUCCGGAAACGGGCGCUAAUACCGCAUACGUCCUGAGGGAGAAAGUGGGGGAUCUUCGGACCUCACGCUAUCAGAUGAGCCUAGGUCGGAUUAGCUAGUUGGUGGGGUAAAGGCCUACCAAGGCGACGAUCCGUACUGGUCUGAGAGGAUGAUCAGUCACACUGGAACUGAGACACGGUCCAGACUCCUACGGGAGGCAGCAGUGGGGAAUAUUGGACAAUGGGCGAAAGCCUGAUCCAGCCAUGCCGCGUGUGUGAAGAAGGUCUUCGGAUUGUAAAGCACUUUAAGUUGGGAGGAAGGGCAGUAAGUUAAUACCUUGCUGUUUUGACGUUACCAACAGAAUAAGCACCGGCUAACUUCGUG
Molecule: ribosomal RNA, 483 nt
Filed under: uncultured bacterium
Lineage: Bacteria
Description: partial 16S ribosomal RNA
Rfam family: Bacterial small subunit ribosomal RNA
Source: RNAcentral